UUUUUUAAAAAAAAAAAAAAACACUAAUCUUAACUGCUUUACAUUCCGCACAUUAAGAAUUUUGCUAAUAUUGCUAUUUAAUUUUUUUUCUUUUUAAUUUAAUUUUUAUUUUGUAAAAUAUCUAAUUGCAGGUACGUGUGCCUUUUCUUUCUCUCUUUCAUCCAGUUCUCACCCAAAUCAGAGUGUUAUAACUGGACACUUACCUUGAAAAAGUUGUGAUACCUUUCUUUUACCUUUAUUGCUGAAACUUAAAAAUUUACAAGUAAAAAAAAAAGUUACUUUUGGGGCCGGCAACUCUCAAAUCUGGGAACUGCAUUCCCGGAAACAGAGGAGUUUUUCUAAGCUUUGACCUGGAGCCACAUGAGAUCUUAACUCUCAGUGCUUCUGCAAAAGGUUGGUUCCUGAAGUGGGAUUCUUUUGUCACUGCAGACCCCCAAAACCCACCCCAUUGGUUUGGCCCUCCGCAGCUCCAUGAGUAUGAAGAAGUGAGGGUGCCAAGAAGAUAUGAGGAAUUGGGUCCUCUGUAUGAGAUGUGGUGUCCUAAGAGGGAACCAUGGAUUCAUGAGUACGCAAAUAUCUACGAAGAGAGCAGAAGAUUGCCCUCCCUGCAGGCGGAGACGAGGCAGAUCUAUGAUCCCGUGGCAGAUUAUUUGCCCUUGGAAAGGGAGCUGCCUUUUGAAGAGCAAGGGGAACUGGUCUAAGCAAAACUACGGGCAGCGUGUUGGAUUUAUUUGCCAGGAUUUGUUUGUGUCUAUAAAGCAAUUCACAACUGAGCAUCUCCGAGCCCCUUGUGUCUGUGUUCGCCCCUUGUUGACGCAGUGGAUUGAACAAGCAGAAAAAGUGCAGUGGGAGGAAGUGAAGGUGGGCGAAAAGGGGAAGCAGACUGGGCUGGCUUUGUGUGGGUGGUUGGGGGGCAAUGUAACACCAAGACAGCUGACGUGCUUAAAAAGUGUGCUUUAUUUAUUGCCACAAUUAGCGCACUUCUGUGCCAAUAACAUAUGGGUCAGUCAUAAACCCCAGCUUUCCCUUUCUUCUGCUCGAAGAUUCCAUUUAGCAAAAGACCUGAGAUUAUCUGUCUUGUUGAAGAUACAGCAAGAGGGAAAGCUUUCAGAGUCAAAAGAGAAGAGGAAGGGGGAGGAUCACUUUUGCUCCUUAGCAUGGCCACAUGCCUUCACAUCAUUCCUGCAGCAUUUUGUGGUGGAAUAG
Molecule: long non-coding RNA, 1206 nt
Filed under: Pogona vitticeps (central bearded dragon)
Lineage: Eukaryota; Metazoa; Chordata; Lepidosauria; Squamata; Agamidae
Description: lncRNA (ENSPVIG00000010543.1)
Source: RNAcentral